AUUGAACGCUGGCGGCAGGCCUAACACAUGCAAGUCGAGCGGAUGAAGGGAGCUUGCUUCUGGAUUCAGCGGCGGACUGGUGAGUAAUGCAUAGGAAUCUGCCUGGUAGUUGGUGAUAACGUCCGGAAACGGGCGCUAAUACCGCAUUCGUCCUGAGGGAGAAAGUGUGGGAUCUUCGGACCUUACGCUAUCAGAUGAUCCUAGGUCGGAUUAGCUAGUUGGUGGGGUAAAGGCCUACAAAGGCGACGAUCCGUAACUGGUCUGAGAGGAUGAUCAGCCACAGUGGAAAGGAGACAAGGACCAGACGAAGACGGGAGGCAGCAGUGGGGAAUAUUGGACAAUGGGCUCAAUUCUGAUCAAACCAUACCGAGUGAGUGAAGAAGGUAUUCUGAUUGUAAAGCCCUUUUGUUGGGAAAGAAAAGCAGCAGGCGAAUACCCCGCUGUUAUGACGGGACACAAAAAAUAAGCACGGGCUAACUUCGUG
Molecule: ribosomal RNA, 484 nt
Filed under: uncultured bacterium
Lineage: Bacteria
Description: partial 16S ribosomal RNA
Rfam family: Bacterial small subunit ribosomal RNA
Source: RNAcentral